Molecule: non-coding RNA, 71 nt
Filed under: Pseudomonas veronii
Lineage: Bacteria; Pseudomonadati; Pseudomonadota; Gammaproteobacteria; Pseudomonadales; Pseudomonadaceae
Also listed under: 5 other names
Source: RNAcentral
AAGCGAAACCGUCCCGGUCAUCCGGGAUGGUCUGCCGGACGUGGUUGUCCGGUACUGAUGAGCAGCCACCC